GGAGAAUUAGGAUCAACAUCGACUGUAGCCAGAUAAUCAGGCUUGUUUCUCCCGGUCCCGGAGUAAACGGCGGUGACAUAGAUGAGAGUUUCUCUGGGGCCGGACAUGGCUUGGAGAGGAGUAGCGUAGCCCGGUCCAUGGUGGCAACAAGCGUUGCCAUUCCCGUUCCUCGCUCCAUCCGCCAUAGCUUCUGCGCUUGAAGAAUCG
RNAcentral lists this unclassified non-coding RNA (207 nucleotides) under Hevea brasiliensis (rubber tree). The record is from RNAcentral. Lineage: Eukaryota; Viridiplantae; Streptophyta; Magnoliopsida; Malpighiales; Euphorbiaceae.